Molecule: unclassified non-coding RNA, 893 nt
Filed under: Trichosporon caseorum
Lineage: Eukaryota; Fungi; Basidiomycota; Tremellomycetes; Trichosporonales; Trichosporonaceae
Source: RNAcentral
CCUUUUGGACUCUCUAUGCUUGGUAUGGACUGGGGGGUAACUUAACUCCAGCAUGUUAUGCAUAGACAGUUUAUGAGGUGAGCGGAUGAGGUGAGCUAAUGCAUGCAUGAGUUGUGGAAAUGUGGUGAGCUUNUGCAUGCAUGAGUUGUGGAAAUGUAGUGAACGGAUGUAUGCAUGAGUUGUGGAAAUGUAGUGAACGGAUGUAUGCAUGAGUUGUGGAAAUGUAGUGAGCGGAUGUAUGCAUUAGUUUGUGUUAAUGUGGUGAGCGGAUGAGGUGAGCAGAUGUAUGCAUGAGUUUUGCAAAAGUCAAAAGUCGGAUGGCAUGGUGGGAUUCGAAUCGACGACAGAGUUGGGAAUCGGGGUCGGAGCUCGACCUUUCUAGAUUUCUUGUUUCCCACGGGUAUAAGUUCGAUUUAAUUAGUAUUUNUAAUAAUUGCAGGGUAGUGCAAUUAUCUAAUAAUUGCAGGGUAGUGCAAUUAGAGUUAGUUUGUAAUGUUUUCGGUUUUUAGUACUAAUAAAGUACGCUACCCCACUUUCGCUAGCGUACUUUGAUUUUCGUUUUCAUACUGGUAAGUUGGCUUCAAACUGGUAAAGUGCGUGGGGUAGCGUACACGUUCAGGGAUGGACUGGGGGAGUCUAGGCCUCUGUACCAGCCGCGGUUGACAUUUUCCACAAGUCCUUUCGCCCGCCGACUGGUUCUGAGUGCAUGCAUGCAUCAAUAAGNUCAGAAAUUAGAGGUACGGCUGGCUGGUAUGCUUAGACUAGUGCUGGGGACCAUGUUAAGUAAGUACUAAGAGUGCAUUGUGUGCACGCUGGCAAGUCCAAGUUUACCAGCAGAAAUGUUUGUGCGCUGAGGGCAGAUUGGCUUAUAGGGGCAGUUCAACCUUACUAAC